AAAUCAACUAAAUGGUCAACAUAUACUAGCAAACCCCUCCCAGAUAGCCCUAAAGACUCCAGCUUCAGAAUAAGAAUUUUGAGUUCUUCACUGAUAGGGUUGCUAAGCAACUUAUCACUGCCUUUUAAACAGAAAAACUUAUGUGGAAGCAAUUGACCUUAUUCUUAAUGCUGAAGUGACUUCACCUCACUUUCAUCUUCCUGAUUACUUCAAGUUUCUGUUAAAAAAAAAAAAGAAAAUGUUUCCAUAAACUAUACACACAAAAAAUGUCACUAAUGAUGACAUUUGGUAGAUAGAUAAUUUAUCCAAUUUCACAAGUUAGUGUCUAUGGCUAUUCUCAAAGGGAAAACCAGGGGGAAAAGACAAGAGUGAUUUCAUUUGGAAAUAAUGUUCCCAUAAUCUAUGUAAAUAUAGGUCUUACAUUCACCAGGAAAUAAUCAGAGGUGGCUUAAACGAGCAAAAUGCCAUCCUGAAGUAGGACAUGGACAUUUCCAUUGAACUUAAAGAGAACAUUUUGAAACAACUUAUAACCAGCUGCCACCAACAGAUGAAUCAACACAAGAACCAUGGGAGUGGCAGCACCUUCUGCUUUCAGACAAGACAUCAUCUGAGGAAGCAACUCCUGUGGAGAAGGAGCCAGCCAUCCCCACCAGUUGUCAACCAACUACCCCACUCAGGGUCAGCAAAUCACUGGACUAGUUAAAGCAGUGAGACCCCUUGAGGGAGAGAUAGGAAGCACCACAUGCAAGAGUCCUCCAGAUCCACUGGCAAGGAAAAGACAAGAUAUCUGGUGAUGUAGAAGAUGACCUUGGCAUAUUCAAUACCUAACCAGUCUCUAAGUGCUCCAUGAAGCCUGCUUCAGCCCCCUUCAUGGUCAUUGGAAUGAACUAUUCUCAUCUGCCCAUUUCACCAUGAAAGUCUUCACAUGUCUUCUACAUAGGUAGAUACCCCCCUAACUUGCUGACAGCUUUGAGGUUUUUAUCCCAUCUGCCAAGACAGUUUUAUGAAGACAUGGGUGUCGUGUGUGCCACAGCUUCUUGGAGCCACACAUGAGAGUUGGGUGGAGACCAAAGGUGGAAUGCAGCUCUAAAAAGGACUUGGCAAACCCUUGCACCAGAGAUGCUGGUCUUCCCUGAAUACUCUGUACACAAAUCUACCCAGAAUAAGUGCUAAAUAAAUGAUAGUGGUCAUGAUCCUGAUUCUUCA
This 1206-nucleotide long non-coding RNA is filed under the name Monodelphis domestica (gray short-tailed opossum). RNAcentral describes it as "lncRNA (ENSMODG00000031536.2)". Lineage: Eukaryota; Metazoa; Chordata; Mammalia; Didelphimorphia; Didelphidae. The record is from RNAcentral.